This 798-nucleotide ribosomal RNA is filed under the name uncultured bacterium. Its description in RNAcentral is "bacterial SSU rRNA". It matches the Rfam family "Bacterial small subunit ribosomal RNA", at positions 9 to 775 of the family's 1533-position model. The record is from RNAcentral.
GAGUUUGAUCAUGGCUCAGGAUGAACGCUGGCGGCGUGCCUAAUACAUGCAAGUCGAACGAAACUUCUUUAUCACCGAGUGCUUGCACUCACCGAUAAAGAGUUGAGUGGCGAACGGGUGAGUAACACGUGGGCAACCUGCCCAAAAGAGGGGGAUAACACUUGGAAACAGGUGCUAAUACCGCAUAACCAUAGUUACCGCAUGGUAACUAUGUAAAAGGUGGCUAUGCUACCGCUUUUGGAUGGGCCCGCGGCGCAUUAGCUAGUUGGUGAGGUAAAGGCUUACCAAGGCGAUGAUGCGUAGCCGAACUGAGAGGUUGAUCGGCCACAUUGGGACUGAGACACGGCCCAAACUCCUACGGGAGGCAGCAGUAGGGAAUCUUCCACAAUGGGCGAAAGCCUGAUGGAGCAACGCCGCGUGGGUGAAGAAGGUCUUCGGAUCGUAAAACCCUGUUGUUAGAGAAGAAAGUGCGUGAGAGUAACUGUUCACGUUUCGACGGUAUCUAACCAGAAAGCCACGGCUAACUACGUGCCAGCAGCCGCGGUAAUACGUAGGUGGCAAGCGUUAUCCGGAUUUAUUGGGCGUAAAGGGAACGCAGGCGGUCUUUUAAGUCUGAUGUGAAAGCCUUCGGCUUAACCGGAGUAGUGCAUUGGAAACUGGGAGACUUGAGUGCAGAAGAGGAGAGUGGAACUCCAUGUGUAGCGGUGAAAUGCGUAGAUAUAUGGAAGAACACCAGUGGCGAAAGCGGCUCUCUGGUCUGUAACUGACGCUGAGUUCGAAAGCGUGGGGAGCAAACAG